RNAcentral lists this ribosomal RNA (2164 nucleotides) under Salmonella enterica subsp. enterica serovar Enteritidis. RNAcentral's name for it is "partial 23S ribosomal RNA". It matches the Rfam family "Bacterial large subunit ribosomal RNA", at positions 657 to 2802 of the family's 2925-position model. Lineage: Bacteria; Pseudomonadati; Pseudomonadota; Gammaproteobacteria; Enterobacterales; Enterobacteriaceae. The record is from RNAcentral.
AUAGGGGAGCCGGAGGGAAACCGAGUCUUAACCGGGCGUUAAGUUGCAGGGUAUAGACCCGAAACCCGGUGAUCUAGCCAUGGGCAGGUUGAAGGUUGGGUAACACUAACUGGAGGACCGAACCGACUAAUGUUGAAAAAUUAGCGGAUGACCUGUGGCUGGGGGUGAAAGGCCAAUCAAACCGGGAGAUAGCUGGUUCUCCCCGAAAGCUAUUUAGGUAGCGCCUCGUGAAUUCAUCUCCGGGGGUAGAGCACUGUUUCGGCUAGGGGGCCAUCCCGGCUUACCAACCCGAUGCAAACUGCGAAUACCGGAGAAUGUUAUCACGGGAGACACACGGCGGGUGCUAACGUCCGUCGUGAAGAGGGAAACAACCCAGACCGCCAGCUAAGGUCCCAAAGUCAUGGUUAAGUGGGAAACGAUGUGGGAAGGCCCAGACAGCCAGGAUGUUGGCUUAGAAGCAGCCAUCAUUUAAAGAAAGCGUAAUAGCUCACUGGUCGAGUCGGCCUGCGCGGAAGAUGUAACGGGGCUAAACCAUGCACCGAAGCUGCGGCAGCGACACUGUGUGUUGUUGGGUAGGGGAGCGUUCUGUAAGCCUGUGAAGGUGUGUCGUGAGGCAUGCUGGAGGUAUCAGAAGUGCGAAUGCUGACAUAAGUAACGAUAAAGCGGGUGAAAAGCCCGCUCGCCGGAAGACCAAGGGUUCCUGUCCAACGUUAAUCGGGGCAGGGUGAGUCGACCCCUAAGGCGAGGCCGAAAGGCGUAGUCGAUGGGAAACGGGUUAAUAUUCCCGUACUUGGUGUUACUGCGAAGGGGGGACGGAGAAGGCUAUGUUGGCCGGGCGACGGUUGUCCCGGUUUAAGCGUGUAGGUGUGUGUUCCAGGUAAAUCCGGUUCACUUUAACACUGAGGCGUGACGACGAGGCACUACGGUGCUGAAGCAACAAAUGCCCUGCUUCCAGGAAAAGCCUCUAAGCAUCAGGUAACAUCAAAUCGUACCCCAAACCGACACAGGUGGUCAGGUAGAGAAUACCAAGGCGCUUGAGAGAACUCGGGUGAAGGAACUAGGCAAAAUGGUGCCGUAACUUCGGGAGAAGGCACGCUGACACGUAGGUGAAGUGAUUUACUCAUGGAGCUGAAGUCAGUCGAAGAUACCAGCUGGCUGCAACUGUUUAUUAAAAACACAGCACUGUGCAAACACGAAAGUGGACGUAUACGGUGUGACGCCUGCCCGGUGCCGGAAGGUUAAUUGAUGGGGUCAGCGCAAGCGAAGCUCCUGAUCGAAGCCCCGGUAAACGGCGGCCGUAACUAUAACGGUCCUAAGGUAGCGAAAUUCCUUGUCGGGUAAGUUCCGACCUGCACGAAUGGCGUAAUGAUGGCCAGGCUGUCUCCACCCGAGACUCAGUGAAAUUGAACUCGCUGUGAAGAUGCAGUGUACCCGCGGCAAGACGGAAAGACCCCGUGAACCUUUACUAUAGCUUGACACUGAACAUUGAGCCUUGAUGUGUAGGAUAGGUGGGAGGCUUUGAAGUGUGGACGCCAGUCUGCAUGGAGCCGACCUUGAAAUACCACCCUUUAAUGUUUGAUGUUCUAACGUGGACCCGUUACCCGGGUUGCGGACAGUGUCUGGUGGGUAGUUUGACUGGGGCGGUCUCCUCCUAAAGAGUAACGGAGGAGCACGAAGGUUGGCUAAUCCUGGUCGGACAUCAGGAGGUUAGUGCAAUGGCAUAAGCCAGCUUGACUGCGAGCGUGACGGCGCGAGCAGGUGCGAAAGCAGGUCAUAGUGAUCCGGUGGUUCUGAAUGGAAGGGCCAUCGCUCAACGGAUAAAAGGUACUCCGGGGAUAACAGGCUGAUACCGCCCAAGAGUUCAUAUCGACGGCGGUGUUUGGCACCUCGAUGUCGGCUCAUCACAUCCUGGGGCUGAAGUAGGUCCCAAGGGUAUGGCUGUUCGCCAUUUAAAGUGGUACGCGAGCUGGGUUUAGAACGUCGUGAGACAGUUCGGUCCCUAUCUGCCGUGGGCGCUGGAGAACUGAGGGGGGCUGCUCCUAGUACGAGAGGACCGGAGUGGACGCAUCACUGGUGUUCGGGUUGUCAUGCCAAUGGCACUGCCCGGUAGCUAAAUGCGGAAGAGAUAAGUGCUGAAAGCAUCUAAGCACGAAACUUGCCCCGA